GUCUCGUAGUGACUGCGGAGGGAUCAUUACACAAUUUAAAAUAUGAAGGCUUCGGCUGGAUUAUUUUUUAUCACCCUUGUCUUUUGCGCACUUGUUGUUUCCUGGGCGGGUUCGCCCGCCACCAGGACCACACCAUAAACCUUUUUUAUGCAGUUGCAAUCAGCGUCAGUAUAACAAAUGUAAAUCAUUUACAACUUUCAACAACGGAUCUCUUGGUUCUGGCAUCGAUGAAGAACGCAGCGAAAUGCGAUACGUAGUGUGAAUUGCAGAAUUCAGUGAAUCAUCGAAUCUUUGAACGCACAUUGCGCCCUUUGGUAUUCCAAAGGGCAUGCCUGUUCGAGCGUCAUUUGUACCCUCAAGCUUUGCUUGGUGUUGGGCGUCUUUUGUCUUUGGCUUCGCCCAAAGACUCGCCUUAAAACGAUUGGCAGCCGGCCUACUGGUUUCGCAGCGCAGCACAUUUUUGCGCUUGCAAUCAGCAAAAGAGGACGGCACUCCAUCAAGACUACAUUUUUACGUUUGACCUCGGAUCAGGUAGGGAUACCCGCUGAACUUAAGCAAAUCAAUAAGCGGAGGAAAAGAAACCAACAGGGAUUGCCCUAGUAACGGCGAGUGAAGCGGCAACAGCUCAAAUUUGAAAUCUGGCUCUUUCAGAGUCCGAGUUGUAAUUUGCAGAGGGCGCUUUGGCUUUGGCAGCGGUCCAAGUUCCUUGGAACAGGACGUCACAGAGGGUGAGAAUCCCGUACGUGGUCGCUAGCUAUUGCCGUGUAAAGCCCCUUCGACGAGUCGAGUUGUUUGGGAAUGCAGCUCUAAAUGGGAGGUAAAUUUCUUCUAAAGCUAAAUAUUGGCCAGAGACCGAUAGCGCACAAGUAGAGUGAUCGAAAGAUGAAAAGCACUUUGGAAAGAGAGUCAAACAGCACGUGAAAUUGUUGAAAGGGAAGCGCUUGCAGCCAGACUUGCUUGCAGUUGCUCAUCCGGGCUUUUGCCCGGUGCACUCUUCUGUAGGCAGGCCAGCAUCAGUUUGGGCGGUGGGAUAAAGGUCUCUGUCACGUACCUUCCUUCGGGUUGGCCUUAUAGGGGAGACGUCAUACCACCAGCCUGGACUGAGGUCCGCGCAUCUGCUAGAUG
Molecule: ribosomal RNA, 1125 nt
Filed under: uncultured fungus
Lineage: Eukaryota; Fungi
Description: eukaryotic LSU rRNA
Rfam family: Eukaryotic large subunit ribosomal RNA (bases 518-1125)
Source: RNAcentral